Molecule: small nuclear RNA, 299 nt
Filed under: Meriones unguiculatus (Mongolian gerbil)
Lineage: Eukaryota; Metazoa; Chordata; Mammalia; Rodentia; Muridae
Description: 7SK RNA (ENSMUGG00000005814.1)
Rfam family: 7SK RNA
About the family: 7SK was discovered as an abundant small nuclear RNA in the mid-70s but a possible function has only recently been suggested. Two independent studies have found that 7SK RNA binds the CDK9/cyclin T complex (known as elongation factor P-TEFb).
Source: RNAcentral
UGAUGUCAGGGCCAUCUGGCUGCGACACUUAUCACCCCAUUGAUCACCAGGGUUGAUCUGGCUGAUCAUGCUGGUUAUGCUGGUGUCCCCUUCCUCCCUUACUGCUCCAUGUGUGUCUCUUCCCGAAGCUGCGCGCUUGGUGGAAGAGGACGACCUUCCUUGAAUAGAGGAGGACUGGUCUUUGGUCAAGGGUAUAUGAGUAGCUGCGCUCCCCUGCUAGAACCUCCAAACAAGCUUAUUUUAAAGUAUGGAACACAUCCUGGUUUAUCUGAAUACAUGUAACUUAGCUAUGUGAUUUC